Molecule: ribosomal RNA, 468 nt
Filed under: uncultured bacterium
Lineage: Bacteria
Description: partial 16S ribosomal RNA
Rfam family: Bacterial small subunit ribosomal RNA
Source: RNAcentral
GACGAACGCUGGCGGCGUGCUUAACACAUGCAAGUCGAGCGGAAAGGCCCUGCUUUUGUGGGGUGCUCGAGUGGCGAACGGGUGAGUAACACGUGAGUAACCUGCCCUUGACUUUGGGAUAACUUCAGGAAACUGGGGCUAAUACCGGAUAGGAGCUCCUGCUGCAUGGUGGGGGUUGGAAAGUUUCGGCGGUUGGGGAUGGACUCGCGGCUUAUCAGCUUGUUGGUGGGGUAGUGGCUUACCAAGGCUUUGACGGGUAGCCGGCCUGAGAGGGUGACCGGCCACAUUGGGACUGCGAUACGGCCCAGACUCCUACGGGAGGCAGCAGUGGGGAAUAUUGCACAAUGGGCGGAAGCCUGAUGCAGCAACGCCGCGUGCGGGAUGACGGCCUUCGGGUUGUAAACCGCUUUCGCCGGUGACGAAGCGUGAGUGACGGUAAUGGGUAAAGAAGCACCGGCUAACUACGUG